GAUAGAAGGUCGACCGAUAGUGGAAUUUGGAAGGUGCUAUAGAAGGUUGAUCGAUAGAAGAAUCCAGAAGGCAUUGUGGAAGUUCGUCCACUAGAGGAGUCUAGAGGACACUGUGGAAGGUCGAUCGCUAGAGGGGUCCGGAGGGAAUUUGUCCGUUGGAGGGGUCUGGUUGGCACUGUUGAAGUCCGGUUGGUGCUGUUGAAGGUUGAUGGCUGGAGAGGUAAGGAAGACACUGGAGACAGUCGGUCACUGUAGAAAUCUGGCUGCUGGAGCCUGUCCGUUGUAGAAGUUUGUC
Molecule: long non-coding RNA, 295 nt
Filed under: Elaeis guineensis (African oil palm)
Lineage: Eukaryota; Viridiplantae; Streptophyta; Magnoliopsida; Arecales; Arecaceae
Description: long non-coding RNA (EGUI_LNC069103)
Source: RNAcentral